UUUGGGAUUAAUUAGCUAGACCGAAUAUGUAUUGCCUUCAGGUGCACACCAGUUUCAAAGUAAGAUUGACCCCUUUGAUCUUUUUGGUGGAAGAGAGCAAGAAAGUUAAGAGUCACUUGAGUAUGGCAGUUCAUCCACAGCAGACCUAGUUGGAGAAUUAGGUUUAGGUUUCAGACUCAAAUUAGACUUAGAAAAACAGGGUCU
This 204-nucleotide long non-coding RNA is filed under the name Elaeis guineensis (African oil palm). RNAcentral describes it as "long non-coding RNA (EGUI_LNC007799)". The record is from RNAcentral. Lineage: Eukaryota; Viridiplantae; Streptophyta; Magnoliopsida; Arecales; Arecaceae.